This 10880-nucleotide long non-coding RNA is filed under the name Homo sapiens (human). The record is from RNAcentral. Lineage: Eukaryota; Metazoa; Chordata; Mammalia; Primates; Hominidae.
UUUUAAUGGGAAGUAUAACCCUAAAUAUAUUAAAAACCACUGGCCCAGAAGGUCUAUGUUUAUAUUUGUUCUAAAUAGGAUGAUUUUCAUUUUUUAAUAGUAAAACUAAUAUAGUCAUUGUAAAAAUGUCAAACAACGCAGAAAUGUAUUGUAUUCAUUCAUUCACUUAAUAAGUCUCUAUUGAGCACCUAUGCAAGGCAUUGAGAAUACAAUGGUAGGAAAAACAGACUAGGUCUUUGUAUUCAUGAAGCUCACAGAUUAGUGGGGUAUAUACAUUAAUCAAAUAAUCACAUGAGUGUAUGGAUAAUUAUAAUUCCACAUAAAUACAAAGAAGGAAUGGAACACAGGUAUGUAUAUGAGUAUAUUGCUGCAGAUCAAGACAUACUCUGAGGGGCUAAAAAGGGAACAAAGAAAACUUCCCUAAGGAAGUAAAAUUUGAGAGGAAAUAAGGAAAAGUAUAAUUACUAGGCAAAGAGGAUAAUAUAAAUGUCUGGUAAUCAUACAUCCUGCAGAAUGCCAUAGCUAACACAUAUGUGUAAUUGGAAUAAAUCACAGUCCACAAACCCAAGUGUAUAAAACAUCCAGCUUUUAUUUUCUAUAGCAAUACUCAUAAUUUAUAUUUUGUCUUCUCAUCCCAUUGUUGUGCUGAAAUGGAAUCAAUUUAGGAUCUGCUGCAUUUUCCGUGGUGUGUCUAAGAUCAAAGAUGCUUACAAAGCACCUUAGAGUUGUUGGAGGAGGUCCACAUGAUUCUAGUAAUACUGCUCUACAUAAUUCACCAUUUUCAUUCCUUCCUCAGGACCUCUUCAAAUAUUGUAGCUCUCUAUUUUGCUUGUGUCGACCUUGAAUGAUCAAGACUUUCUGUGUUGCUUCCCUGCCUUUGCUAUGCUGAGAUACAGAAAACUUCGUUAGACUCUAUACUAUAUGUCUGGAAGCAAUGUAAAGCAGCAAUGCUUCAGGUAUCUCUUAACAGGUAUGACAUGUCACCUACACAAUUUAAUCCAACAAAACUGUCCAGCGAACUUCCAGUCAACAGCAGACUGAAGUGAGUUGGAAAGCUUCCCCCUUCCCACUCGAAACUCACAGAUGUGAUAGAAUGCUAAAAACAGUAAAUAGUCAAGUUCAUCAUCAUGAAAUGGAAAUCUCCAAGAAACAAAGAAGGAGCUAGCAAGGAGCGGGAGAUAAAGACAGACGGCUAUCGGCUUUAAGAUCUAGAGACCAGGAUUUAAUCCCACCAGCAAAGAUACAUGAGAAGAAAGCUCAUCUUUUAUGUGAGGUCAUGGGUGGAUACAGAGCCCCCUGGGAGCAAUCAAAAUCCAGGCCAGCUCCAUUCAUAGGCCGAAUUCAUAAUCUGUACAUGUGAGAGAAUUCAAGGGACAUACACUAAUAUAAAAAUUAAUCUGGAACUGGUGAAACUUUUAUAGCCUUAGCAGAGACAAAGGCAAGGAGAAAAUUAGGACAUUCAAAUAUAGAUCUCAAUAAAUCACCCAGAAUGCAGCACACAAAGAUAAAACAGUACAAAAUAUGAGAAGCUAGAAGACAUGGCAGAAAAAGGGAAAGUUUCAAAAUAUACCUAGAACGAAGUCCAUAAAGAGAGUCUAGAGAGAAUGAGGAAGGGACAAUAUUUGAAGAGAUAGUGGCGUGAAUUUUUCAACAACUGAUGCUAGACAUGAAUCCUUAAGCAGCAUAAAUAGAAGUAAAGCCAUAGCUUGAUACAUCUUAGGGAAGAGCACCAACUAUACCUAACACUAUAUUUUCAUGUGUUUAGGCUUUGGGAAAUCGAAAAGCCCUUCCAUAAACCUUUCCUGAAACAAGGAAUGGGAAAAUGGAAAAGUAAGAAAUAUUGUGGGAAACAGAAGAACAUAAGUUUAUAAAACAUACUAUUCUGUCAUAUAUGCACAUGUGUAAAUAUUUACAAUCUCUAGUGAAAUGGUAAAUCUUUUUUUAAGAAAAAGUAAGAAACUGUCUUCAAGGAAAGGAGGAUAUAGCACUCUCUUUCCAGGAUUUCAGUCAGAGGGUACGUGACAAUGUUUAACAGUUUUCUGUAUCUGUCAUCCCAUUCCUUCGUAAAUCAUUGCACAUUUUCUUCCUUCUGACUAUUCAGAGGUUUCUCUUGGGGACAUAUACAAAAUGAUCCCAUUGAGAAAUGGUAUCAGCUGUUAGUCAAGCCACAAUCUCUACCCAGCUUAAUCGUCCUGCUUUCUCCUGACACUAAAUUCUGAGGAUAGUUAUUUUAAAGCCACAGCUAAGGUAAUCAACAUACAAUAACAGUAGCUGGAGCAAUGUGCUAAUGUGAAAUAUCAGAGACGGAUGGGCGUGGUGGCUCACAUCUGUAAACUCAGCACUUUGGGAGGCCAAGGUGGGUGGAUCACCUGAGGUCAGGAGUUCGAGACCAGCCUGGCCAACAUGGUGAAACCCCCAUCUCUACUAAAAAUACAAAAAUUAGCUGGGCGUAGUGGCGGGCCCCUGUAAUCCCAGCUACUUGGGAAGCUGAGGCAGGAGAAUCGGUUGAACCUAGGAGGCGGAGGUUGCAGUGAGCUGAGAUCACGCCAUUGCACUCCAGCCUGGGCAACAAGAGAGAAACUUCAUCUCAAAAAAUAAAAAGAAAGAAAAGAAAAAAGAAACAUCAGAGACUUGGAAGGGAUGGGGAAGACAGAUUGAGAGAGUAAGUAAAUUAUGCAUUACAGUCUAAAGAUACUUUCUUAAAAUCUUUAAUCCAUCACUUAGGUAGGCCUCUCUAGGUAUGUCUAAGAAACAGUAUGUGAAGCAAAAUGUUGAUACAGUGAAGAAAUACAGAAUCACAAAAUUGAUUUCAAUCAAUCCCAGUUUUGCCUAUCCCCCAAAAGACCUUCCUUGGAGUUUUCCAUUCUCCAAAUUUCUCCAGUCCCUCGUAGUAUUUCCAUAGGUGACAAUUCAUAUCCAUUGUCUGUGCAUUUCAAAAUUUAUAUUAUUUCUGACUGAAAUAGAACUAUAGAAAGAGUCAAAUAUCAUAUUUAGCAAAAAGCAAUAACAACACUGGAAGAAAUAAAAUUAAAACAGGAAAAAUAAUUUCUGGAAUUGAGAAACAUGAUUUUCAAAUUUAAAAACUCACACUAAAUGAAAGAGAUAAUGUCACUGUUGAAAAUUGAAUAAGCAGCCAAGGUGAUCAGGUGAAAAUUUAAACAAUAAAUGAAAAUGAUGAAGGAAAAGAUAAAUCUUGGAGGACGGAUCCAAAAGGCCCAAUACAUUAAUGAAUUUCUAGGACGAGGAAGAGAAACAGAUGGAAAAGUGAUAGGUAAAGAAAUUGUGAAGAAAAAUUUCUCUAAUCUAAAGAAAAUCUUGAGGUUGAACAAUAAAAAGAUACCCCAAGUUCCAGACACCAUUAGUUUUUAAAAGUUCAAAUGCCUAGAAGUAUCAUUAUAAAAUUCAUAAAUUCCAAUCACAGAGAAUAUUAUAAAAAAGAAGUUACAUAAAAAGGGAAAAUAUCCGACAGGUAAAUUAUUUUUACUUGCCAUCCUGGAGGUAAGAAAACAAGGAAAUAAUCUCCACACACUACUAAAAGGAAAGAGUAGUAACUCCAAAACUGUGUGCCCAACCUAGGUAAUCAUUACAAGUCAAGGUGAAGUAGGAUAUAUUCAAGCAUGCAAAGAUUCAGAGAGAAUACAAUCCAUGUCUAAAUUAUCACAGGUAGCAUUUAUUGAGCACUUAGUACUUGUCAGGUGCUGCUCUAAGCACUUUACAUAUCUUUACAUAUCAGCUCAGCAACCUUAUGAGAUAAUCCAAUUCUUAACUUCAUUUUCACAUAAAGAAAUUUAUAUAGACAGUGAUUUAAAACUCACCCAAGAAAAUACAGCUUUUAAAUAAAUAGCUUCUAACUCAGCCACUGUCAUUCUGAGAUCACAAAUUUAACCACUAUGUAUUGAAUGCUACUUGGACUUUGUAUAAAUGUUUCUAAAGGUUUCCUAUUUUUGGAGUUGGGGGCAGUGGGAAAAUAAGGUGCCUCAGUGGGUGGUAUAAUUAUCUCAUUUGGAUUCAACAGUAGAGAAACAUUGUUUGAUUUUGAGUGCUAGCAUUCAUGGAAUGAAGUGUGUAGAAAAGCAUAGUAAAUUUUCCAAAUUCACAAUAUAAUGAAUGUGUAAGAAUAGAAGUUUGAAUAAACUAAAAAAAAUAAAUUAGAGAAAGGAAAUGGGGGCUCGACAAAAUAAAAUUAAUAGUAAAAAUAAUAGGAACAUAAAACAAAAUGAAGAGAAUAAAAUCAAGGGUAUUAACUGUUGCACUAAAGGUAAAAGGGCACAGACCAUGAUAGUGAAUUAAAAAUCCAACUAUAUGUUCUUUACAAGAAACACACCUACAGCAUAGCAACAAAGAAAUGUUGAAACAGAUCAGUGAGUGAGGAGAUAUCAGGCAUAAGCAAGCAAAAAGAAAACAUGGUUGAAAAUAUUAAUAUAAGCCAAAGGAAGCUCUAAAACACAAUUUAAAUCAUUAUUUGUAUGAAUAAAAAUGGCACAACUAAAGAAAUUAUAAGUAAUACUUUUGUAUGUACCAAACAGCAUUGCAACUAAACAGAUAAAGCAAAAACUGUUAGAAUUACAAGGAGAACUUUAAUACACCUCUAUCGGAAUUUGACCAACCCAUUAGAUGAAAAGAUAAUCAAAGACAUAGAGGAUCUAAAUAAUCAACCAAUGAUAUUAACUCAAUAGAAAGAAAUUUGCAUGAUAUAAGGAGAGAAUGUGCAUCUUUUUUCUUACAUGUAUAAAACUUUUAACAAAUCGAUCAUGUCCUCAAAAACAUAAAAAUACAUUAAUAAAUUCCAAAAAGGAGAGAAUAUAUAGGCAUAUCCUCUUAACAAAAUAAAAUUAGAAAUUAAUAAUAAAAAUGAUCAUAGUAAUUGCCUGAUAAUAUAGCAAUAUUCUCCAAAAUAACCCCUACGUCAAAAAGAAAAUUAAAAAUAAAAUUGCAAGUUAUAUGGAAAGCAAAGAAAAAGAGAACACAUCAUAUCAAACUGUACUGUGGCAUGGCUGAAGAUAUACCCAGAGAAAAACCCAUAGUCAUAAUUACCAUUAUUAUUCAAUAAAACCAUAAAUAAAAGAAAUACACACUCUUCUUGAAGAAAUUCAAAAGCACGAGAGAAAUAAUCCAAAGGCAGUAGAAGAAAUUAGUAAAAUUAAAGUUUAAGAUAAUGACCAAAAAAGCCAAUUGUAAAAGUGAUAAAUAGUGCUCGCUUCGGCAGCACAUAUACUAAAAUUGUAACGAUACAGAGAAGAUUAGCAUGGCCCCCGCGCAAGGAUGACACGCAAAUUCGUGAAGCAUUCCAUAUAUUUUUGAACAAUGAGAACACAUGGACACAGGGAAGGGAACAUCACACCGGGUCCUGUUAGUGGGUGGGUGGCUAGGGGAGGGAUAACAUCAGGAGAAAUACCUAAUGUAGGUGACAGGUUGAUGGGUGCAGCAAACCACCAUGGCACGUGUAUACCUAUGAAACAAAACUGCAGAUUCUGCACAUGUAACCCAGAACUUAAAGUGUAAUUUAAAAAGUGAUAAAAAGUUGGUUUUUUUUAAAUCACCAAUAAAAUACAUAAACAUCAUGAGUAUGACUAAGAAAACACAGGGAAAGCAAAAGCAUACAAAUUAUGAUUAAAGGGUUGAACCACACAAAUAGAUGUGAUUAUUAUAAAUCACAUGAGUAAUUUAUUAUUAUAUUAUAAUUAUUAUUAUUAUAAUUUUACACACAAACAUAUGACAUCAAAAUUGAAAAUCUAAAGAUAACAUAUAAUUUCCUAAUAGAAUAGAAGUUACCAACAUUAACUCAAGAAAUAGAAAAUUUGACUAGAACAAUUACUACAGAUGAGAUCGGAAAUGUGUUUGUAGAUUUACCAUUGUAAAACAAACCAAAAGUUUUGCAGUUGGGUUCUAACUAACCUUUAAGGAAAAGAUAAUACCAAUGUUAUCUAAACUCUACCAGAAAACAGGAAAAAAUGGAAAGUUCACUAAUGAUUUUAUAAAGCUAGCAAAGCUGAGACCAAAAUCUGUUAAAGAUAGUACAUAAAAAGGUAACUAUAAGCAGUUAUCAAUGAUAAACAUAAAAAAAAUAAAAUAUUAACAAACUCUAAAAUAUGUAGACAAACAGAUCUCAGAAGUAUAGCAAGAAAAAAACUGUACUAUUACCUGAUAGGGAUAGAUCCACAAAGGCAAAAAUAAAUAGUCAAACACCAAAUUCUUUUUUGUUUUUUGUUUUGUUUUGUUUUUGUUUUUGAGACAGGUCUCACUCUGUCACCCAAGCUAGAGUUCAAUGGCACAAUCACGGCUCACUGUAGCCUCGACCUCUCAGGCUCAGGUGAUCCUCCCACCUCGGCUUCCCAGAUAGCUGGGACUACAGGCUGAAUUCUCUUUUCUAAAAAAGUUUUUUUUCUAUGUGCGUUUUGAGACAGAUAGUGUCUUUUUUCCCCCAGGAAUUCUAUCAAUAUAAUUAAUUACAUAAAAUAUUUGGGAAGGCCGAGGUGAGUGGAUCACCUGAGGUCAGGAGUUCAAGGCCAGCCUGACCAACAUGGAGAAACCCCAUCUCUACUAAAAAUACAAAAUUAGCUGGGCGUGGUGGUGCAUGCCUGUAAUCCCAGCUACUUGGGAGGCUGAGGCAAGAGAAUUGCUUGAACCCGAGAGGUGGAGGUUGCCGUGAGCUGGGAUCGCACCAUUGUACUCCAUCCUGGGUGACAAAAGCGAAGCUCUGUCUCAAAAAAAAAAAAAAAAUUAAAGGAGAAAAAGUGCAUGAUUCUGUUAAUAGAUGUUGAAAAGCCACUAGGGAAAAAAUCAGCAGCUAAUCCUAACAGACACUAAUAGAAAUAGAAGGGGAUGACUUAAAUAUUAAAAGCACUUUUUACCAACAAUCAACAGCAAUCCUCAUUCAGACCAUGAAAUGCCAAAGUAAUUCCCACUAAAACCAGAAACGAGUCACUGUUACUCACAAUUUCCAUUCUUAUUCAAGUGUUUUUUGAGAUUAUAACUAUUGCAAUAAGAUAAGAAAUAGUGUAAAAUUGGGAAAAGAUAAAAUUAAUUUAUAUUUACAACUGAUAAUGAUUGUAUUCUUCUAAAAAACAAGGGACUAUUUAAAAAUUAGAAAGUCAAUCAGCAAAUUAGAAAAGGUGGUGGAACAUAAGAAAUAUUUUUUAAAUCAACAGCUUUUCUCUAUUCUAGCAAGUUUUUAGAGUAUUACACUAUAGAGCCCAUGUGUCAACAUUAUUCUUUUAUUUCUUUUGAUUAAAAGAACAUGUAUCACUCGUAAAUGACUAUCAUCUAUCUAUCAAACUCAUCAAACUAGUGCAUAGAAUGAUUGCAUCAAUUGCUAGUUCAACCAAUUGUAUCAGUCUCAAUGUCCCUCUGACACUUAUUUUAUUUUUUAUUACACUAUUAUAUGAUUUACUAUUUUUUCCAUUUGUACCCAAGUUUAUUUUAUAAAUUUAAACUAUUUCACCAUGUUUGAUAAGCAUAUUACUUUAUCUUGUAAGUGUCCACCAAAAUGUCUUAACUCAUAGUGCCUAAACCCUCUAUAUCUGACAAUUCAUUCUAUGCUUCAAAAAGAUCAGUUUCUUAUCUUUGGUUCCAAGCACACAUGAUAAUAUAUAAUAACUGUCUUGUUGGAAGACUGGAAUAGCCAGUAGACUUUCAAACUCUCAAGUACACUGAUUAGAUUACUCACUGUCAUGUGUCCUAGGACAACAUUAAGGUUUUUUUUUUUUUGAAAACUUAAUUUUAAUGUUUAUUUUUUGGGGGUACAUAGUAAGUGUGUAUAUUAUGGGAUAAAUGUAAUGUUUUGAUACAGGCAUGCAAUGUGAAAUAAGCACAUCAUGGAGAAUGAGGCAUCCAUCCCCUCAAGCAUUUAUCCUUUAAGUUACAAGCAAUCCAAUUACACUCUUUGAGUUAUUUUAGAAUGUACAAUUAAGUUAUUAUUGACUAUAGUUGGAAAAACCUAAGAUUGCUUUCAAUGAAGUGUUGUCACAUUCACUUAGGCCACUUAUUAGACUACCUUUUACAAACUGUGACAAUUUUGGUAAGAAUGUCAAGAAUAUGAAAUCCUUGAACAUUGUUGGUGGGAAUGUAAAUUAGUACAGCCAUUUUGGAAAAGAGUAUGGAGGCCCCUCAAAAAACUAAAAUUUUAAUUACCAUAUUAUCCAGCAAUCCCACUUCUGCAUAUAUAUUCAAAGGAAUUGAAAUCAGUGUAUCAAAGAGAUAUCUUCACUCCCAUGUUCAUUGCAGCAUUAUUCACAAUAGCCAAGAUGUGGAAUCAACCUAAGUGUCCAUCAUUGGAUGGAUAAAGAAAAUGUGGCACAUGCAAAUGGAAAUACAAUGGAAACAAUGCAGCCUUUAAAAAGAAGAAAAUUCUAGCCAGCCGGGUGUACUGGCACUGGCCUGUAGUCCUAGCUAAUUCAGAGGCUGGGGUGGGAGGAUCUCUUGAGCCCAGGAGUUCGAUACCAGCAUGGGCAACGUAAUGAGACUCUUAUGUCUUAUGUCUCUUAAAAAAAAAAAAGAAGGAAAAUUUGUCAGUUGCAACAUUUGCAAUAACAUGUUAAUCUAGAAAACAUUGUACUAGGUGAAAUAAGUCAGGCACAAAAAGACAAAUAAUGCAUGAUCUCACUUAUAUGUGGAAUCUUAAAAAGUCGAAUUCAUAGAAGUAGAGUAGAAUGGUAGUUACCACGGGAUGGGGGUAAGGGGAGGCACAAGGAAAGGAGAGAUGUUUCUUAAAGGGCACAAAGUUUCAGUUAGACAAAUGGAUUAAGUUCUAGUAGCCUAUUUCAUUGCAUGGGGACUAUACUUAAUAAUAACAUAUUGUAUAUUCCAAAAUUGCUUAAAAAGUAGAUUUUAAGUGUUCCCACCACAAAAGAUUAGUAUGUUAGGUGUUGUAUGUUAAUAGGCCUGUUUUAAUCAUUCCACAAUGUAUUCAUGUAUCAUAACAUGAUACUGUACUCCAUAAAUACAUACUUUUUAUUAUUCGUCAUUUUUUUAAAAAUAUAAUUUAAAAAAUUAAUCACACUGCUAAAAAAAAGUAUAUUUCUCUUAAACUCUUUUUGAUAGCCAAUUUGAUCAUAUAUGUUAAUAGUCAUAAAACUACCACCCACCGAUGCUCUACCUCUGCUAAAGGAGCAUCUGGGCAGACAAAAUUUAUAAUUGUGUCCAGGGAGAAAUGUGCUGCAUCUCUUGAAUACAAGAAUUGGAUUUCAGCAAUAACUUUAUCCUCACAGUGGAGAUGGAUCCACCAAGUUCUCCUACUUUGAGGGCACCCUGUCAGAAUAAAGUUACCUCUCUGAUAAGGCUUCCUUCACUCCCUUCUCCCCUCUCCCUCCUCUCCCAUCUAUCCCCUAAAGCAUACAUUGCCCAAGCCCUUAGCACAAUACCUGAGAGGGCCCCAGUGGAGAGGGUCAAGCACUGAGCUAUGCCACUCAGAUAAGUAAAUAUUACUUAUCCUGCUAAUACCAUACCCUCGGGGCAGGGCAGAUAAGGGACCCCAGGAUGGUGGUGACACGGCUCUGGCUUAAAAGCAAGAAAGAGCCAUGGUUUAAACAGAAAAACCGGAAAAAAAUCUUCAGCCUGGGAUGCGAUGCAAAAUAAAUGUAAAAAGCUAGCAUUGAAAAUAGUAUGAAUCAUUAUCUAAAAGGCCAUUCUCAAGGGAACUUAGCAAAGAAAUUAAUGAAAGAGAGCCAUAAACAUAAAAUUUGCCUGAACCACAUCAAUUUGCUAAGCCUACACUUGGAAUCUCUUUUGAAAAAAGACAGGUAAAAUGUGAAUUUUUCAAAAAAGAAAAUCCAUUUCCUGAGCCUUGAAAUAUUAUGUAUAUUGGCUGACAAUUUACAACAGAACAACACUCCACUUUUGUAAAAUCGCCUUUGAACAUGUUUGCACUGGGAUAGAUCCACUUAUAUUCCUAAAACUGUUAGAUGAGAACAAAACCAAAAUAGCAGGACAUCCUCUGAGUUUCUGGUUUCCUUGGUUUCCCAGAAGCUGCCAUCCUCUCUAAAGAGAAGACACUGCCUCCUCCAUGUGCCAAUGGGCUGCCAUAAUCAGCUACAAUCCUAGAACUCUGCCCCUUCCAAAAGGAUUGAGAGUGACAACCUCCUAUGUGAAAACAUUGGGACAUCAACCUGUGACCUGGCUGCCUGGACCAAGCAGUCACACAUCUAUCUCAUACACCUUUCCCAGACUCCGGGUUAUUCAGUCUAAAUAAGACCGGGUACAGGACAUCAAAAAUUCAUGCAGUGCACAUGUGGCCGUGACAAGUUAAGACUAGUUCCUUCUCAGUCUCUUUUUGUCCAACAAAGGUUCCAAAAAUUCUUGGCAUCCAGUCACACCCAGGGUCAACUUAUGACCAGAGCAAUGACAGUUAUUAUUCUGUAUUAAAUGCCCACUGAUACAUGGCAUGGCGUCAUGGGAAUUGAAGGGUCAGAGAAGCCCAGAGAGGCUACCACCAAUGAUCUCCCAGAAGGAUAAAAUAAAGAAAAGUAGGAGGAAGGAAGUGGAAAGAAGAAUGAGAAGGAACAAAGGAAUGGGGAAAGGAGCAGAUGGGUGCUAGUCAGGCCUAUACCUGCCUCACUGGGGAUUUUUACUACUCGAGUUAGCCUCAUUUUCACCCCAGGUGUAAAAGUCGCUCCGCAUCUCAAGUUCAACAUGGCUUGAUCUGGAUUUUUGUUAGAUGUUCAAGCUACAUAUCUGGGUCAAGGCACAAGUUUGUACUCAUCAACUCUAUUUUUUCAAGUAUUAUAUCUCCAAUGAAUAUUAUUCUUUUUUUGAGGAAAAAAGUUUUAAAUCAGGCACUGAAAAUUUUUCAAUAGUAUGAUCCAAUUUUAUGUAAAGAAUAUAUAAGUAUAUGAAUAGUAAAAGUGUCUGGAAGGGUAUACAUUGUUUCAAUUCUGUGCUUCUCU